AGUGAACGCUGGCGGUAGGCCUAACACAUGCAAGUCGAACGGCAGCACAGUAAGAGCUUGCUCUUACGGGUGGCGAGUGGCGGACGGGUGAGGAAUACAUCGGAAUCUACUUUUUCGUGGGGGAUAACGUAGGGAAACUUACGCUAAUACCGCAUACGACCUACGGGUGAAAGCAGGGGAUCUUCGGACCUUGCGCGAUUGAAUGAGCCGAUGUCGGAUUAGCUAGUUGGCGGGGUAAAGGCCCACCAAGGCGACGAUCCGUAGCUGGUCUGAGAGGAUGAUCAGCCACACUGGAACUGAGACACGGUCCAGACUCCUACGGGAGGCAGCAGUGGGGAAUAUUGGACAAUGGGCGCAAGCCUGAUCCAGCCAUACCGCGUGGGUGAAGAAGGCCUUCGGGUUGUAAAGCCCUUUUGUUGGGAAAGAAAAGCAGCAGGUUAAUACCCCGCUGUUCUGACGGUACCCAAAGAAUAAAUACCGGCUAACUUCGU
RNAcentral lists this ribosomal RNA (491 nucleotides) under uncultured bacterium. RNAcentral's name for it is "partial 16S ribosomal RNA". It matches the Rfam family "Bacterial small subunit ribosomal RNA", at positions 29 to 506 of the family's 1533-position model. The record is from RNAcentral.